GACGAACGCUGGCGGCGUGCCUAACACAUGCAAGUCGAACGCAGUGGGGACGGGUGAGUAACCCGUGGGUAACCUCCCAUCAGAGGGGAUAACACUUGGAAACAGGUGCUAAACCGAUACUGAUGGAUGGAGCCGCGGUGCAUUAGCUAGUGGGUGAGGUAACGGCUCACCAAGGCAACGAUGCGUAGCCGGCCUGAGAGGGUGAUCAGCCACACUGGGACUGAGACACGGCCCAGACUCCUACGGGAGGCAGCAGUGGGGAAUCUUCGGCAAUGGACGAAAGUCUGACCGAGCAACGCCGCGUGGGUGAAGAAGGUUUUCGGAUCGUAAAGCUCUGUUGUUAGAAAAGCGGUAUCUAACCAAAAAGCCACGGCUAACUACGUGCCAGCCGCCGCGGUAAUAC
RNAcentral lists this ribosomal RNA (403 nucleotides) under uncultured bacterium. RNAcentral describes it as "partial 16S ribosomal RNA". It matches the Rfam family "Bacterial small subunit ribosomal RNA", at positions 28 to 526 of the family's 1533-position model. The record is from RNAcentral.